CGGAAUCUGCCUAUUUGUGGGGGAUUACGUAGGGAAACUUACGCUAAUACCGCAUACGACCUACGGGUGAAAGCGGAGGACCUUCGGGCUUCGCGCAGAUAGAUGAGCCGAUGUCGGAUUAGCUAGUUGGCGGGGUAAAGGCCCACCAAGGCGACGAUCCGUAGCUGGUCUGAGAGGAUGAUCAGCCACACUGGAACUGAGACACGGUCCAGACUCCUACGGGAGGCAGCAGUGGGGAAUAUUGGACAAUGGGCGCAAGCCUGAUCCAGCCAUGCCGCGUGGGUGAAGAAGGCCUUCGGGUUGUAAAGCCCUUUUGUUGGGAAAGAAAAGCAGUCGGUUAAUACCCGAUUGUUCUGACGGUACCCAAAGAAUAAGCACCGGCUAACUUCGUGCCAGCAGCCACGGUAAUACGAAGGGUGCAAGCGUUACUCGGAAUUACUGGGCGUAAAGCGUGCGUAGGUGGUUUGUUAAGUCUGAUGUGAAAGCCCUGGGCUCAACCUGGGAAUUGCAUUGGAUACUGGCAGGCUAGAGUGCGGUAGAGGGUAGUGGAAUUCCCGGU
This 559-nucleotide ribosomal RNA is filed under the name uncultured bacterium. Its description in RNAcentral is "bacterial SSU rRNA". It matches the Rfam family "Bacterial small subunit ribosomal RNA", at positions 119 to 674 of the family's 1533-position model. The record is from RNAcentral.